AUCCAGCUGAUGAGUCCCAAACAGGACGAAACGCGCAUCCUGGAU
Molecule: non-coding RNA, 45 nt
Organism: Schistosoma mattheei
Lineage: Eukaryota; Metazoa; Platyhelminthes; Trematoda; Strigeidida; Schistosomatidae
Source: Rfam